RNAcentral lists this ribosomal RNA (164 nucleotides) under uncultured bacterium. RNAcentral's name for it is "partial 16S rRNA". It matches the Rfam family "Bacterial small subunit ribosomal RNA", at positions 355 to 510 of the family's 1533-position model. The record is from RNAcentral.
UAGGGAAUCUUUCCACAAUGGACGAAAGUCUGAUGGAGCAACGCCGCGUGAGUGAAGAAGGGUUUCGGCUCGUAAAACUCUGUUGUUAAAGAAGAACAUAUCUGAGAGUAACUGUUCAGGUAUUGACGGUAUUUAACCAGAAAGCCACGGCUAACUACGUGCCA